RNAcentral lists this ribosomal RNA (497 nucleotides) under uncultured bacterium. RNAcentral describes it as "partial 16S ribosomal RNA". It matches the Rfam family "Bacterial small subunit ribosomal RNA", at positions 28 to 507 of the family's 1533-position model. The record is from RNAcentral.
GAUGGACGCUGGCGGCGUGCCUAAUACAUGCAAGUCGAGCGAACGGACGAGAAGCUUGCUUCUCUGAUGUUAGCGGCGGACGGGUGAGUAACACGUGGAUAACCUACCUAUAAGACUGGGAUAACUUCGGGAAACCGUAGCUAAUACCGGAUAAUAUUUUGAACCGCAUGGUUCAAAAGUGAAAGACGGUCUUGCUGUCACUUAUAGAUGGAUCCGCGCUGCAUUAGCUAGUUGGUAAGGUAACGGCUUACCAAGGCAACGAUGCAUAGCCGACCUGAGAGGGUGAUCGGCCACACUGGAACUGAGACACGGUCCAGACUCCUACGGGAGGCAGCAGUAGGGAAUCUUCCGCAAUGGGCGAAAGCCUGACGGAGCAACGCCGCGUGAGUGAUGAAGGUCUUCGGAUCGUAAAACUCUGUUAUUAGGGAAGAACAUAUGUGUAAGUAACUGUGAACAUCUUGACGGUACCUAAUCAGAAAGCCACGGCUAACUACGUG